GAUGAAUGCUGGCGGCGUGCCUAACACAUGCAAGUCGAGCGGCAGCGCGGAGAGUUUACUCUCUGGCGGCGGGCGGCGGACGGCUGAGUAACGCGUGGGAACGUGCCCCAAAGUGAGAAAUAACUGCCCGAAAGGGUGGCUAAUGCCGCAUAUGAUCUUCGGAUUAAAGGAUUUAUCCGCUUUGGGAGCGGCCCGCGUCGGAUUAGGUUGUUGGUGAGGUACUGGCUCACCAAGCCGACGAUCCGUAGCUGGUCUGAGAGGAAGAUCAGCCAGACUGGGACUGAGACACGGCCCAGACUCCUACGGGAGGUAGCAGUGAGGAAUCUUCCACAAUGGGCGAAAGCCUGAUGGAGCAACGCCGCGUGCAGGAUGAAGGCCUUCGGGUUGUAGACUGCUUUUAUAAGUGAAGAAUAUGACGGUAACUUAUGAAUAAGCACCGGCUAACUACGUGCCAGCCGCCGCGGUAA
This 467-nucleotide ribosomal RNA is filed under the name uncultured bacterium. RNAcentral describes it as "partial 16S ribosomal RNA". It matches the Rfam family "Bacterial small subunit ribosomal RNA", at positions 28 to 523 of the family's 1533-position model. The record is from RNAcentral.